UCGAAUUUAAAGCUUGGUUGAGCUGACACUCCGGUGUAUGUGCUUGCCUCGCCGUCCAUUCUCAACACCUGUGCACAAUCAAGUUUCAGAUGAGGGGGUUUUCUCAGUCGGCUCUACGCCGGUUGGGGACUCUUCUUUGUUUGUUACCUUGCCUUAUUAAACAUACCCUACUUUUAAAUUGUCUAUGAACGUCAAAUGUAGGCGCACCGUAAAACCGUGACGCUGAAAUUAAAUUAUA
RNAcentral lists this unclassified non-coding RNA (238 nucleotides) under uncultured Agaricomycetes. Its description in RNAcentral is "sequence contains ITS1". The record is from RNAcentral. Lineage: Eukaryota; Fungi; Basidiomycota; Agaricomycetes.